GUAGGUGAACCUGCGGAGGGAUCAUUACCCAACAAAAUAUGAAGGCCGGGUGGCUUCGCGCUGCCGGGCUGAAUUAUUUUUUUCACCCAUGUCUUUUGCGUACUUGUUGUUUCCUGGGCGGGUUCGCCCGCCACCAGGACCAAACCAUAAACCUUUUUCGUGUGCAAUCAGCGUCAGUAAACAACGUAAUUUAUUACAACUUUCAACAACGGAUCUCUUGGUUCUGGCAUCGAUGAAGAACGCAGCAUCU
This 250-nucleotide unclassified non-coding RNA is filed under the name plant metagenome. Its description in RNAcentral is "partial contains small subunit ribosomal RNA, internal transcribed spacer 1, and 5.8S ribosomal RNA". The stretch from base 198 to 250 matches the Rfam family "5.8S ribosomal RNA", at positions 1 to 53 of the family's 154-position model. The record is from RNAcentral.